This 253-nucleotide ribosomal RNA is filed under the name uncultured bacterium. RNAcentral's name for it is "partial 16S ribosomal RNA". It matches the Rfam family "Bacterial small subunit ribosomal RNA", at positions 524 to 776 of the family's 1533-position model. The record is from RNAcentral.
GACGGAGGGUGCUAGCGUUGUUCGGAAUGACUGGGCGUAAAGGGCGCGUAGGCGGCCGCUUGCGUCGGAUGUGAAAGCCCGGGGCUCAACCCCGGAACGGCAUCCGAUACGGGGCGGCUCGAGACCGAGAGAGGUGAGUGGAAUACCCAGUGUAGAGGUGAAAUUCGUAGAUAUUGGGUGGAACACCGGUGGCGAAGGCGACAUCCUGGACCGGUAUUGACGCUGAGGCGCGAAAGCCAGGGGAGCAAACGGG